Molecule: small nuclear RNA, 104 nt
Filed under: Choloepus hoffmanni (Hoffmann's two-fingered sloth)
Lineage: Eukaryota; Metazoa; Chordata; Mammalia; Pilosa; Megalonychidae
Source: RNAcentral
GGGCUCACUUUUGGCAGCACAUAUCCUAAUAUUGGAACGAUACAGAAAAGAUUAGCAUGGCCCUGAAUGAUGACAUACAAAUUCAUAAAGUGUUCCAUAUUUUU